This is a long non-coding RNA of Oncorhynchus tshawytscha (Chinook salmon), 3151 nucleotides long. RefSeq lists it as uncharacterized. The record is from RefSeq and is a predicted model, not a curated record. The transcript has 3 exons. Lineage: Eukaryota; Metazoa; Chordata; Actinopteri; Salmoniformes; Salmonidae.
UUUUACUUGAGUAAUUUUCUAAUAAUUUAUCUUUACUUUUACUCAAGUAUGACAAUUGGGUACUUUUUCCACCACUGUUCAUGAAUGAUGUCGAUAAUCUACUGGCAAAUGUGAUAUUUCAGGGUUGUUUUUUAAAACAAUUUUACAAUUUAUGGUCCCUGAAGACUGUCGGAAAGCCCCAAACGCAAGAUCGUAAUGACUCACACAGCACUUCACUUUUUCUUUUACAACUGUGAGCAUUUUUCUACAGUAUUCACAACAUAUUAACACAUUUACAAUCUUCACAGAGUAUCAUUUCAUCAAUUACAUGUGGAAAUACAUAUUUGAGUGAACAUUAGCAAGCCAGCAGCAGAUGAAACAGAAAGUGAAUUUUCUCCUCCCUCUCUCCACAGUUUUAGCUUGCUAUCUAGCUGGUUGGUUUAGGAUAUUUACUAGCCCAUACCAGUGACAAACUUAGCUAUAUGGCAGCUCACUUAUUUUGCUAGCUAGAAAGAAUUAGACACAAAUGAAUUUAGAAACGGAGGAAGAGGAUAGUGAGCUAUAGCACGCUAACGUUAGCAGCUGCCUCUUCAACAAGAAGCAACUAUGACAACAUUGAUCUUAAAAUCUAAAUAAAAUGAACUUCCCCCAUUUGAGAAAAAUCCACAAUCCACCUCUCCAAAGAAAGCAUGGCUCUGGGGCUUCUCUAAUCCGUGGCCUUAGCUUCACUUUUCCGUUUAGCCCGCACUUGGCAGGUUGUAUAGAAAACACCCCCGGAGCCACAGAAUGGCCAGAUUAUUGCAACGGGCAGCCCUCACAAACACCUUGAAAACUUGCUCUAUACAGUAACAGUGAACUCCGUUGUGGCCAAAACUACUUUUUCCAAUAGGCUUGUACUACCUAUAGUAUGACAGCAUCAGCAGUUAGCUACCAACAGCUGGCAGACAUGUUUACAUUGGGUUAGUUUUAUCAGUGUUAUUUAGAUGGAAGACGUAGCAAGCUAGCUCGUUCACUUACUAUACCCAGUUCUCCAUGCUCACUGAAGCCAAUGAUGAUGUUCGGUCUCUGCUGGUCUUGCUGGCUGUUUCAGAUUUUUUCACAUAUAGUCAUCUUUAAAAUAACCGAUUUCAGUCCUCUUUCAAGUGAACUGUGGAGGGAAAAGAAGAAGUGCUUUGUAUUCUUACUGCCCUUGCCUUUGAAUGAGGAUUCAACUCUUUUGCCAGUUCACUUCACCCAUUUGUGAUCUGAGACCUCUUUGCAUUCACAUUGCUAUUUUUAGAAUGCACUCUGGGUUUUUACAAAGUGUAGGACAAGCCAUUUCAUUGGAUCAUGUUAUCGGACAGCUAGAUAGACCUACUUAAAUUUUGGAAGCUAAUAGAUUACAUUUCAUUCAAAUAUGAUAAUAAUAUUUAAUAAUUGAAAUCAGAAGAUACUAUUAACAUGUAAAUAUUAUUGGUAACAGCAGAAAAAUAACUACAGAUUAAAUAAUGUUGUAAUUGAAAAUUGUACACCCAAUGUAGGCUACUGCCCCUUCAAGAGCUAGAAAUUAUUUUUGUACCCUAUGUUGUGAUUCUCACCAAAUAUGUUGUUGUCCUCUCUCAUUAUUCAAACCCCACAGUCAAAUAAACAGUUUGCCGCUCUCUGAUAUAGAUCACAUAUUGCAAACAAAUAAUCUGAACACAUAUUUUGGAAUUUCUGUGGAUCCUUGACAAUCGCUAAUCAAUAUGCAAAAACAGCAACAAAAAAAUCUAAAACCUGCAAAUCAUAAUUUUCUCUCUUUUGUGUCACCAGUGCGAGGGGUUAUGAAAGGGGGAUAAUGACAUACAAACUUGGGAGGCUUUGUUAACAUUUCCCUAAAAAAGGUAACCAGGCCGCGCAAUUCAAGCAAACUGAACUCAGACCACCUCUCGAAAGAGACUCAGUUCAGUUCACUUCGGGGACUCUUUUAAGGGGUCUGAGUUACUUUGGAGUGUUCACAAAAAAAGGCUGAAAGAGACCAAGUGUGAAAACACCCUUAGAAGCCACAUUGAUGUUACUGACAGCAUCCAUUUUAAGAAGCAUCUUCUUGCUGAAGCACUCCUUCCAGUGUUGAUAGCUGUGGAAGUUCUCAUGGAUAAAAAGUGCCCCGCAGAUUGACGCAUACAUGCUCAAUUCGCCUGGUUUCCACAGCCACAAAGUCAAAAUGGUCUAUUUCCUAAAAUAAAAAUGCUUUUUGGUUUUAAUUUAAGGUUGGGAUUAGGCACAAGGUUAGCAGUGUUGUUAAGGGACCAAUUCACCUUUUUGGUUUUAAUUUAAGGUUGGGGUUAGGCACAAGGUUAGCAGUGUUGUUAAGGGACCAAUUCACCUUUUUGGUUUUAAUUUAAGGUUGGGGUUAGGCACAAGGUUAGCAGUGUUGUUAAGGGACCAAUUCACCUUUUUGGUUUUAAUUUAAGGUUGGGGUUAGGCACAAGGUUAGCAGUGUUGUUAAGGGACCAAUUCACCUUUUUGGUUUUAAUUUAAGGUUGGGGUUAGGCACAAGGUUAGCAGUGUUGUUAAGGGACCAAUUCACCUUUUUGGUUUUAAUUUAAGGUUGGGGUUAGGCACAAGGUUAGCAGUGUUGUUAAGGGACCAAUUCACCUUUUUGGUUUUAAUUUAAGGUUGGGGUUAGGCACAAGGUUAGCAGUGUUGUUAAGGGACCAAUUCACCUUUUUGGUUUUAAUUUAAGGUUGGGGUUAGGCACAAGGUUAGCAGUGUUGUUAAGGGACCAAUUCACCUUUUUGGUUUUAAUUUAAGGUUGGGGUUAGGCACAAGGUUAGCAGUGUUGUUAAGGGACCAAUUCACCUGCCUCAUUCUCACAAAUGUAUCUAACUUUUGACAUCGUUUUUCAUUCACCGUGUGACGCAGACCACGGGGCGUUGAAUGGAGCUGAUUUGGAGAGAACCUUAAACACAACAUUAUUAUAACAAUUGACAUAAGUGUUUUGUAAUUUGGGGAUGAUUUCUUGGGGGGGGGCUCUAAUAUAUUAUUUAUUUUUAGAAUUAUAAUAAUUUUUACAUGUAUUUCUGGCAUUGAGAAACAAGUCCUACACUCCCUUUAAUCAGGGAAAGUUGAGUAAGCUAGACUAGGGUAGGAGCAGUGGCAACCUGUCAUUCAGGGCAGGUGGGGUCUAUAGCAGAGACCCACCUGUUUUGAA